UCUACAAUUAUCUGGAUUAUCGUUAUCGGAACAGCUCUUCCCCAGAUUUUGUGUGAACUUUAGGUCCAUCAUGCUACCAAGACUGGUACUGCCAAUAAUUCUGCUACUCGUUGUUAUAGGUACGUUAUCAAAAGCUUGCGAUUUGGAUCAAAUGCAAUAUGGAUGUCGUAUCUAUAAUGCUCAAUGCAGAUGCGGUUACGGUUGUUCCUCCGAAUAUAGAUAUAGUACUAACGAUGAUUGCAAAGAAGCAUUAAGAGGUAGGCGUAGCGAUAUAUGUUAUAGAUCGAAACCUUGUUUGAAUGGGGGAUCAUGCUUGCAAAUAUCAUCAGAUCCUGGAUUUAAAUGUCGCUGCGAAGGAACUGGUUAUUACGGACCACACUGUGAUAAACGUUAGUAAUCAUCAUCGAUAAAUAAUAAUUAUGAUCAUAAAUUUUCCGGACAUUUGACCAAUUGCUUGCCCAGGACCAAAUAAUCAACGUUUCCGGGGACCAUUUCCUUACGAAUGUGUUGUGAUUUAAUUUGUAAUUUGCCUUCUUUUAAUCUAUCAAAAAUUAAAUACAUCCAGUAUGUUAAGUACAAAAAAUAAACAUAUUUUGCGAAAA
This is an RNA transcript of Frieseomelitta varia, 602 nucleotides long. It is a transcript of the gene named platelet endothelial aggregation receptor 1-like, with no coding region annotated. The transcript is spliced from 4 exons. The record is from RefSeq and is a predicted model, not a curated record. NCBI's taxonomy places the organism in Eukaryota, Metazoa, Arthropoda, Insecta, Hymenoptera, Apidae.